UACGGGGGGGGGCAAGCGUUGUUCGGAAUUACUGGGCGUAAAGGGCUCGUAGGCGGCCCACUAAGUCCGACGUGAAAUCCCCAGGCUUAACUUGGGAACUGCGUCGGAUACUGGUGGGCUUGAAUCCGGGAGAGGGAUGCGGAAUUCCAGGUGUAGCGGUGAAAUGCGUAGAUAUCUGGAGGAACACCGGUGGCGAAGGCGGCAUCCUGGACCGGUAUUGACGCUGAGUGAGCGAAAGCCAGGGGAGCAAACGGG
RNAcentral lists this ribosomal RNA (255 nucleotides) under uncultured bacterium. RNAcentral describes it as "partial 16S ribosomal RNA". It matches the Rfam family "Bacterial small subunit ribosomal RNA", at positions 524 to 776 of the family's 1533-position model. The record is from RNAcentral.